GCCCCUAGUGGCGGAAUGGUAGACGCAGUUGACUCAAAAUCAACCGAUGAAAAUCAUGCUGGUUCAAGUCCGGCUAGGGGUA
Molecule: transfer RNA, 82 nt
Filed under: Ehrlichia ruminantium (heartwater rickettsia)
Lineage: Bacteria; Pseudomonadati; Pseudomonadota; Alphaproteobacteria; Rickettsiales; Anaplasmataceae
Description: tRNA-Leu
Rfam family: tRNA
About the family: Transfer RNA (tRNA) molecules are approximately 80 nucleotides in length. Their secondary structure includes four short double-helical elements and three loops (D, anti-codon, and T loops). Further hydrogen bonds mediate the characteristic L-shaped molecular structure. tRNAs have two regions of fundamental functional importance: the anti-codon, which is responsible for specific mRNA codon recognition, and the 3' end, to which the tRNAs corresponding amino acid is attached (by aminoacyl-tRNA synthetases). tRNAs cope with the degeneracy of the genetic code in two manners: having more than one tRNA (with a specific anti-codon) for a particular amino acid; and 'wobble' base-pairing, i.e. permitting non-standard base-pairing at the 3rd anti-codon position.
Source: RNAcentral